UCUUCCUUAGCUCAGUUGGUUAGAGCAUCUGACUGUUAAUCAGAGGGUCGCUGGUUCGAGCCCAGCAGGAAGAG
RNAcentral lists this transfer RNA (74 nucleotides) under Flavobacteriia bacterium. RNAcentral's name for it is "tRNA-Asn". It matches the Rfam family "tRNA". From Rfam's summary of the family: Transfer RNA (tRNA) molecules are approximately 80 nucleotides in length. Their secondary structure includes four short double-helical elements and three loops (D, anti-codon, and T loops). Further hydrogen bonds mediate the characteristic L-shaped molecular structure. tRNAs have two regions of fundamental functional importance: the anti-codon, which is responsible for specific mRNA codon recognition, and the 3' end, to which the tRNAs corresponding amino acid is attached (by aminoacyl-tRNA synthetases). tRNAs cope with the degeneracy of the genetic code in two manners: having more than one tRNA (with a specific anti-codon) for a particular amino acid; and 'wobble' base-pairing, i.e. permitting non-standard base-pairing at the 3rd anti-codon position. The record is from RNAcentral. Lineage: Bacteria; Pseudomonadati; Bacteroidota; Flavobacteriia.